GCGGUACCAUAUGAUCGUUUAUCGCUAAAGAGCAAUCUGCGCAGGUCCGCAGUGACAUCGCAGUUUUCCCGACUCAUGCACCCCCCUAAAGGUGUAAACCCGGCGGGAUCCACCGGGGUGUAUAGAUAGAAACAGGCACGUGCACAGACCUGCCACCCGUAAUGGUUCUCAGGGACCUGCCACCUUGCCCUGUCUGAGAAAAGAGACCCUUCUGCUGGAGCCCAAUUCUUUCUUCAUUCAUCAAUAUUUAGAAAUAAAAAUGACUCUCUCGGUCGUCAAUUCCCCCUAAAUGUGUAUCGAUAUCUGACUGGGAUUUUAUUUUGGUUUAUUGUCAGCGUUUCGCGCGCCGCCGCGCCCCUCCGUCCCCCUCUUUCCCCUCCGUCCCCCUCUGUCCGUCAGUUUAGUUUACUUAAUUUAAUUUAAUAAUUUAAUAUUUUUUAUUGUAUUAUAUUGUAUAUAAUGUGUAUCUAUUUAUUCUAUUCUUCCCUGUACAUGCUGCGAUAACAAAAUGUCCCCCUUGAGGGAUCAAUAAAGUAUCUAUGUAUGUAUCUAUCUAUCUAUAUGACAGUCUGGUGAGGUAUCAUGUGGUAUAUUAUUAGUGUAAUGCUGCUUAUGCUUCAACUCUGUCAGAAAACAGUCAAAUAAAAUGUGUGUGUGUUGUUGGCUUUAUAGUGAAGAGUUUCUUUGUGUAGAAAAGGGUGACAUUAUACUCAGUGCUGUAGUGGUAAAAUUAGAGGUGGGUAAACUCAGAAUUUUGUGAUCAUACAGACCUCGACGCGAUGCGAAGCAACGCAACACAAAGCGUUGCGACUCUGUAAGGCUGUCCUGGCUAUAUUGCAUUAUGUUAUCAGUAAAAGUCAUAUACAAUCAAUGACAAUGAAUAAAUGUGUUAGUAGUUUAUUAAAUUUAAGAAAACAGUAAAGAAAAGUAUGUCAACACAACACAACAAGACAAUUGCAGAUUAAGAACUAUCUCCUUUUCACAGUAGUGCCCAGAGGGCCUCCUUGUCCUCCACGUCAGGUCCUGCCUUGCACAGAGGAGCCAUGAACCCCAGAACACGGGUUCAUGGCUCCUCUGUGCUUCUCUCUCUAUUGGACCUGGUGUUUCUCCUCUCCCUGUGCUCUCUGCAUCAUUGCCUGUCCUCUCACUGCC
Molecule: long non-coding RNA, 1152 nt
Organism: Gasterosteus aculeatus aculeatus (three-spined stickleback)
Lineage: Eukaryota; Metazoa; Chordata; Actinopteri; Perciformes; Gasterosteidae
Source: Ensembl